RNAcentral lists this transfer RNA (72 nucleotides) under Bos taurus (domestic cattle). It matches the Rfam family "tRNA". Rfam says of the family: Transfer RNA (tRNA) molecules are approximately 80 nucleotides in length. Their secondary structure includes four short double-helical elements and three loops (D, anti-codon, and T loops). Further hydrogen bonds mediate the characteristic L-shaped molecular structure. tRNAs have two regions of fundamental functional importance: the anti-codon, which is responsible for specific mRNA codon recognition, and the 3' end, to which the tRNAs corresponding amino acid is attached (by aminoacyl-tRNA synthetases). tRNAs cope with the degeneracy of the genetic code in two manners: having more than one tRNA (with a specific anti-codon) for a particular amino acid; and 'wobble' base-pairing, i.e. permitting non-standard base-pairing at the 3rd anti-codon position. The record is from Rfam by way of RNAcentral. Lineage: Eukaryota; Metazoa; Chordata; Mammalia; Artiodactyla; Bovidae.
UCCCUGGUGGCUUAGAUGGUAAAGCAUCCACCUGCAAUGCAGGAGACCUGGGUUCGAUUCCUGGGUCGGGAA